Molecule: ribosomal RNA, 301 nt
Filed under: uncultured bacterium
Lineage: Bacteria
Description: partial 16S ribosomal RNA
Rfam family: Bacterial small subunit ribosomal RNA
Source: RNAcentral
CAGUCGCCGCGGGAAUACAGAGGGUGCGAGCGUUAAUCGGAUUUACUGGGCGUAAAGCGUGCGUAGGCGGCUUCUUAAGUCGGAUGUGAAAUCCCUGAGCUUAACUUAGGAAUUGCAUUCGAUACUGGGAAGCUAGAGUAUGGGAGAGGAUGGUAGAAUUCCAGGUGUAGCGGUGAAAUGCGUAGAGAUCUGGAGGAAUACCGAUGGCGAAGGCAGCCAUCUGGCCUAAUACUGACGCUGAGGUACGAAAGCAUGGGGAGCAAACAGGAUUAGAUACCCCCGUAGUCCCUGUCUUUAUACC